AGAGGGUGCGAGCGUUAAUCGGAAUUACUGGGCGUAAAGAGCGCGUAGGCGGCGUUGUAAGUCGGAUGUGAAAGCCCUGGGCUUAACCUGGGAACGGCAUACGAUACUGCGAUGCUAGAGUAUGGUAGAGGACAGCGGAAUUCCCGGUGUAGCGGUGAAAUGCGUAGAGAUCGGGAGGAACAUCAGUGGCGAAGGCGGCUGUCUGGACCAAUACUGACGCUGAGGCGCGAAAGCGUGGGGUAGCAAACAGGAUUAGAUACCCUGGUAGUCCACGCCCGUAAACGAUGUCAACUAGACGUUGGGGGAGUUAAUCUCUUAGUGUCGCAGCUAACGCGCUAAGUUGACCCGCCUGGGGAGUACGGCCGCAAGGCUAA
RNAcentral lists this ribosomal RNA (374 nucleotides) under uncultured organism. Its description in RNAcentral is "partial 16S ribosomal RNA". It matches the Rfam family "Bacterial small subunit ribosomal RNA", at positions 527 to 897 of the family's 1533-position model. The record is from RNAcentral.